UGCAAGUCGAGCGGACAGAUGGGAGCUUGCUCCCUGAUGUUAGCGGCGGACGGGUGAGUAACACGUGGGUAACCUGCCUGUAAGACUGGGAUAACUCCGGGAAACCGGGGCUAAUACCGGAUGCUUGUUUGAACCGCAUGGUUCAAACAUAAAAGGUGGCUUCGGCUACCACUUACAGAUGGACCCGCGGCGCAUUAGCUAGUUGGUGAGGUAACGGCUCACCAAGGCAACGAUGCGUAGCCGACCUGAGAGGGUGAUCGGCCACACUGGGACUGAGACACGGCCCAGACUCCUACGGGAGGCAGCAGUAGGGAAUCUUCCGCAAUGGACGAAAGUCUGACGGAGCAACGCCGCGUGAGUGAUGAAGGUUUUCGGAUCGUAAAGCUCUGUUGUUAGGGAAGAACAAGUACCGUUCGAAUAGGGCGGUACCUUGACGGUACCUAACCAGAAAGCCACGGCUAACUACGUGCCAGCAGCCGCGGUAAUACGUAGGUGGCAAGCGUUGUCCGGAAUUAUUGGGCGUAAAGGGCUCGCAGGCGGUUUCUUAAGUCUGAUGUGAAAGCCCCCGGCUCAACCGGGGAGGGUCAUUGGAAACUGGGGAACUUGAGUGC
Molecule: ribosomal RNA, 611 nt
Filed under: Bacillus sp. CSu2_21
Lineage: Bacteria; Bacillati; Bacillota; Bacilli; Caryophanales; Bacillaceae
Description: bacterial SSU rRNA
Rfam family: Bacterial small subunit ribosomal RNA
Source: RNAcentral